RNAcentral lists this ribosomal RNA (489 nucleotides) under uncultured Bacillota bacterium. RNAcentral's name for it is "bacterial SSU rRNA". It matches the Rfam family "Bacterial small subunit ribosomal RNA", at positions 355 to 836 of the family's 1533-position model. The record is from RNAcentral. Lineage: Bacteria; Bacillati; Bacillota.
UAGGGAAUCUUCCGCAAUGGACGAAAGUCUGACGGAGCAACGCCGCGUGAGCGAAGAAGGCCUUCGGGUCGUAAAGCUCUGUUGUUAGGGAAGAACAAGUAUGAGAGUAACUGCUCGUACCUUGACGGUACCUAACCAGAAAGCCACGGCUAACUACGUGCCAGCAGCCGCGGUAAUACGUAGGUGGCAAGCGUUGUCCGGAAUUAUUGGGCGUAAAGCGCGCGCAGGCGGUCCUUUAAGUCUGAUGUGAAAGCCCACGGCUCAACCGUGGAGGGUCAUUGGAAACUGGGGGACUUGAGUGCAGAAGAGGAGAGUGGAAUUCCACGUGUAGCGGUGAAAUGCGUAGAGAUGUGGAGGAACACCAGUGGCGAAGGCGACUCUCUGGUCUGUAACUGACGCUGAGGCGCGAAAGCGUGGGGAGCAAACAGGAUUAGAUACCCUGGUAGUCCACGCCGUAAACGAUGAGUGCUAAGUGUUAGAGGGUUUCCG